GCCAGACGCAGUGGUGUGUCCCUGUAGUCCCAGGUACUAGGGAGGCUGAAGUGGGAGGAUCGCUUGAGCCCAGGAGUUCUGGGCUGUAGUGCGCUAUGCCAAUCGGAUGUCCAGUCAAUAUGGUGACCUCCUGGGAGCAGGGGACCACCAGGUUGCCGAAGGAGGGGUGAACCGGCCCAGUUCAAAAGCGGAGCAUGUCAGAACUCCCGUGCUGAUCAGUAGUGGGUUCUCGCUUGUCAGUAGCCACUGUACUCCAGCCUGGGCAACAUAGUGAGACCCCAUGUCU
Molecule: signal recognition particle RNA, 286 nt
Filed under: Microcebus murinus (gray mouse lemur)
Lineage: Eukaryota; Metazoa; Chordata; Mammalia; Primates; Cheirogaleidae
Description: Metazoan signal recognition particle RNA (ENSMICG00000037861.2)
Rfam family: Metazoan signal recognition particle RNA
About the family: The signal recognition particle (SRP) is a universally conserved ribonucleoprotein. It is involved in the co-translational targeting of proteins to membranes.
Source: RNAcentral